Molecule: non-coding RNA, 46 nt
Organism: Canis lupus familiaris (dog)
Lineage: Eukaryota; Metazoa; Chordata; Mammalia; Carnivora; Canidae
Source: Rfam
CCAAAGGCUCUUUUCAGAGCCAUCUACACUCGCAGAGAAAGCAGCU